CUACCAUGUUAAACUAGCCUAGCAUGUUAAACUAGCCUAGCAUGUUAAACUAGCAUAGCAUGUUAAACUAACCUACCAUGUUAAACUAGCUUUGCAUGUUAAAUUAACCUAGCAUGUUAAACUAGCCUAGCAUGUUAAACUAACCUACCAUGUUAAACUAGCUUUGCAUGUUAAAUUAACCUAGCAUGUUAAACUAGCCUAGCAUGUUAAACUAAUCUAGAAAGUUAAACUAGCUUUGCAUGUUAAAUUAACCUAGCAUGUUAAACUAGCCUAGCAUGUUAAACUAACCUACCAUGUUAAACUAGCUUUGCAUGUUAAAUUAACCUAGCAUGUUAAACUAGCCUAGCAUGUUAAACUAACCUACCAUGUUAAACUAGCUUUGCAUGUUAAAUUAACCUAGCAUGUUAAACUAGCCUAGAAUGUUAAACCUGUGGCAAAAACAAUCCCACAAAAAAGUGUGCGUUAAAUGUCCAUCAUUAGCCUACACCUUGAGUCACAUGACCACCUUCAUGACUUACCAUUGGCUCCUGAGUCAGAUUCCCAGGCCUCCUCAGUUUUUCCAGGAAGUAGGAAGCUGUAGGUGCUGCGAUCCGAACUUAAAGUACCUGUGUGGUGUUAUACAGCACAGCGACUCCUCCCGCAGAAACGAGGGCGUGUCUCCCGGCGCUGGUUUUGGCGGCACUGUGCAGGCAGUGGAGGAACGCCCUGCGUACGGCGACAUGCUCGUUCCUCGAAUCCUGCGUGUGCCAGUCUUCAUAAACUCUCAACAAGCCCGAGAUGUACCCUUUCCCCACCGCCAGGCGGACAUUAUCCUCUGAAAUAGAAUUAAAGUCCCUUCAGACCACGGCGCCGUUCAGUCCUGGAUUCUGAUUGGUCAGAGCGUGUUAAUAUAAACCUGCACUACUGUCAGAGCUGCUGUUAUAGAAAACUAAUCACCACCUGACGACCAAUCACACAGCGAACACGCCGACUACGUUUGGUGCAACUUCUUACUUUAAUACACCGCAUCUUUUAAUGAUUCAAAGUUCUUCAAAGUCCAGUCGCUGUAUUUAAACUCACUGUAUUAAAAAAAUAAAAAAAUAAAUAAAUGUAAAUGGUUUAUUUAAAUAAAUAAAUAAAUAAAUAAAUAAAUAAAUAAAUAAAUAAAUAAAUGUGCUGAUCAUUGAUUAUUGCUCAUUUAAUUAUUUGGAUGUUUUAUUGCGCUUUUUGUCUUUCAUCUACAACUUAUAACUUACUCCUAUCAUCUGGUUGGGGGAAAAACAUUAAGUCGAUCAAUCAAUCAAUCAGUCAAUCAAUUAAUUUACUGUAUCCAAUAAAAGGUGUAUAGAAUGAACAAAAGUUUGUGCA
This is a long non-coding RNA of Ictalurus furcatus (blue catfish), 1347 nucleotides long. RefSeq lists it as uncharacterized. Lineage: Eukaryota; Metazoa; Chordata; Actinopteri; Siluriformes; Ictaluridae. The transcript is spliced from 3 exons. The record is from RefSeq and is a predicted model, not a curated record.